GUAAGACUUGAAACUUUUACCCUAUUCAUUUCUUUAAUUCUUUAUUUAGAUUUAUAUAUCAUAUGUUUGAUGGAUCUUUUAUGUAAGAAUUUUCUUAUGUUUGAGUGUCAAUUAAGCACUGCAUAUGGUAAACUACAAGAAUUUACUAGAAGAAGCACCUUAUUCAUCAGAAUUCCCAUUAUAGGUAAUGACAUUAUUUAAGAAAAAUUGGGAAUUAUUCAAUAAGCAUACUCGGAAUAUGUCAUUUACGACCGGGGCGAUGAAGAUUUCGAAUAAUUUGUCAAUUUAUAAACAGUAAAAACACUUUCGGG
Molecule: long non-coding RNA, 311 nt
Filed under: Mytilus galloprovincialis (Mediterranean mussel)
Lineage: Eukaryota; Metazoa; Mollusca; Bivalvia; Mytilida; Mytilidae
Source: RNAcentral